This is a long non-coding RNA of Zonotrichia leucophrys gambelii, 1004 nucleotides long. RefSeq lists it as uncharacterized. The transcript is spliced from 2 exons. NCBI's taxonomy places the organism in Eukaryota, Metazoa, Chordata, Aves, Passeriformes, Passerellidae. The record is from RefSeq and is a predicted model, not a curated record.
CACGGCCCGGGGGUGACACCCGAGAAGGGCCGGGAGAGCCGGGCGGGUCCGGGAGGGGCUCGGCCGAGGGAGGCGAGCCGGCCCUGGAGCGGCAGCGGCGGCGCUGGCAGCCUGGCCCGUGUCCCUGCCAGGGAAAGGAUUCGGCUGCUGGACCUGAAAGAGCGCUGGGAGCGGAGCUGGGGGGCAGCAGGGAUGACUCCUGCCAAGGAAGAAGAUGUGUGCAGCCAUGUCAAAGUGGUGGUGCGAGUGCGCCCAGAGAGCCAGAAGGAAAAGCAGGGCAGCUUCAGCAGGGUGGUCCGUGUCAUCGACCAGCACGUGCUGGUCUUUGAUCCUGAGGAGGAGGAAGUCACCCCCAAGCACAGCUUUAACAGGAUUGCACCCUUACACAUGAGGACCUGAAAGAACCAUCCAAUUCCUUUCUCCUAAAAAGCUCCAAAAAUGUUGGUUGUGUAGGGGACAAUCUACACAACAUGUAGUUCAUUCUAAGGCUAUACUGGAAAAAUACAAUCUUUCUUUUUUAACUAGGAAAGAGCCAGUUUUAUAGUCAUAAUGACAGGGGAAACAGUACUGUCAAAGCAGGAAUAACAAAUGGAAUAUUUGCUAUUUCUUCGCUUUACUAUGAUUUCUUUACAUUACCACAGCCUGCCUUCAAAUGUCUCCAAAACUACAGGAACAACUUUGUGAAACCCCAACAUGUGAACUUGGUGUCUUCUGCAUACUUUCAAGGCCUCUCGUGUAUAUAUCUCAUCCAUCCAUCCAUCCAUCCAUCCAUCUUCCUCUUUUCCAGAGGAAAAAGGUUGUUUUUCUAUUCAGGUGAUAGAAGCCAGCACUCUACAUUCAGGAAUAUAAGAGAAGCCAUAACACAGAACUCAAUAAAUGCAGACAGAUUUUAAAGUAUUUUAAAGUUAUAGUAUUUCAUCACCUUGUAACUUUUUAAUGAUAAUAAUGUAAAUCAUUAGAAAAUUUAAAAAUUAAAGUUGUAAUUCUCUUUAACUGCAUAGAAA